This 238-nucleotide unclassified non-coding RNA is filed under the name uncultured fungus. Its description in RNAcentral is "sequence contains ITS2". The stretch from base 1 to 52 matches the Rfam family "5.8S ribosomal RNA", at positions 103 to 154 of the family's 154-position model. Lineage: Eukaryota; Fungi. The record is from RNAcentral.
AACGCACAUUGCGCCCCUUGGUAUUCCGAGGGGCAUGCCUGUUCGAGCGUCAUUAUAACCACUCAAGCCUAGCUUGGUAUUGGGGUUCGCGUGCCCGCGGUCCUUAAAAUCAGUGGCGGUGCCGUCUGGCUCUAAGCGUAGUAAUUUUCUCGCUAUAGAGUCCUGGCGGUUACUUGCCAGAACCCCCCCACAUUCUUAGGUUGACCUCGGAUCAGGUAGGGAUACCCGCUGAACUUAA